UACGAAGGGGGGCUAGCGUUGCUCGGAAUUACUGGGCGUAAAGCGCACGUAGGCGGCUCUUUAAGUCGGGGGGUGAAAUCCUGGAGCUCAACUCCAGAACUGCCUUCGAUACUGGGAGGCUUGAAUCCGGGAGAGGGAUGUGGAAUUCCAGGUGUAGCGGUGAAAUGCGUAGAUAUCUGGAGGAACACCGGUGGCGAAGGCGGCAUCCUGGACCGGUAUUGACGCUGAUGCGCGAAAGCCAGGGGAGCAAACGGG
This 255-nucleotide ribosomal RNA is filed under the name uncultured bacterium. RNAcentral describes it as "partial 16S ribosomal RNA". It matches the Rfam family "Bacterial small subunit ribosomal RNA", at positions 524 to 776 of the family's 1533-position model. The record is from RNAcentral.